GACGAACGCUGGCGGCGUGCUUAACACAUGCCAGUCGAACGGAAAGGCCCUGCUUUUGUGGGGUGCUCGAGUGGCGAACGGGUGAGUAACACGUGAGUAACCUGCCCUUGACUUUGGGAUAACUUCAGGAAACUGGGGCUAAUACCGGAUAGGAGCUCCUGCUGCAUGGUGGGGGUUGGAAAGUUUCGGCGGUUGGGGAUGGACUCGCGGCUUAUCAGCUUGUUGGUAGGGUAGUGGCUUACCAAGGCUUUGACGGGUAGCCGGCCUGAGAGGGUGACCGGCCACAUUGGGACUGAGAUACGGCCCAGACUCCUACGGGAGGCAGCAGUGGGGAAUAUUGCACAAUGGGCGGAAGCCUGAUGCAGCAACGCCGCGUGCGGGAUGACGGCCUUCGGGUUGUAAACCGCUUUCGCCUGUGACGAAGCGUGAGUGACGGUAAUGGGUAAAGAAGCACCGGCUAACUACGUG
RNAcentral lists this ribosomal RNA (468 nucleotides) under uncultured bacterium. RNAcentral describes it as "partial 16S ribosomal RNA". It matches the Rfam family "Bacterial small subunit ribosomal RNA", at positions 28 to 507 of the family's 1533-position model. The record is from RNAcentral.